CGGUGGGCAGGUUCCCGGAUGGCCCCAACAUGAACGCUGUUGUGAAAGUAUGCAGUCUGAGUUGAUUAUAGUAAUCAGUUAAAAUUUCAACAACGGAUUUCUUGGUUCCGGCAUCGAUGAAGAACGCAGCGAAAUGCGAUAAGUAAUGUGAAUUGCAGAAUUCAGUGAAUCAUCGAGUCUUUGAACGCACAUUGCGCCCCCUGGUAUUCCGGGGGGCAUGCCUGUCCGAGCGUCAUUGCUGCCCUCAAGCACGGCUUGUGUGUUGGGCCCCCGUCCCCCUCUCCCGGGGGACGGGCCCGAAAGGCAGCGGCGGCACCGCGUCCGGUCCUCGAGCGUAUGGGGCUUUGUCACCUGCUCUGUAGGCCCGGCCGGCGCCAGCCGACACCCAACUUUAUUUUUCUAAGGUGACCUCGGAUCAGGUAGGCACCCGCAUCC
Molecule: ribosomal RNA, 435 nt
Filed under: Aspergillus fumigatus
Lineage: Eukaryota; Fungi; Ascomycota; Eurotiomycetes; Eurotiales; Aspergillaceae
Description: eukaryotic LSU rRNA
Rfam family: 5.8S ribosomal RNA (bases 82-235)
Source: RNAcentral